Molecule: ribosomal RNA, 253 nt
Filed under: uncultured bacterium
Lineage: Bacteria
Description: partial 16S ribosomal RNA
Rfam family: Bacterial small subunit ribosomal RNA
Source: RNAcentral
UACGAAGGGGGCUAGCGUUGUUCGGAAUCACUGGGCGUAAAGCGCACGUAGGCGGCGCGUUAAGUCAGGGGUGAAAUCCUGGAGCUCAACUCCAGAACUGCCUUUGAUACUGGCGUGCUCGAGUGUUGGAGAGGUUGGUGGAACUCCGAGUGUAGAGGUGAAAUUCGUAGAUAUUCGGAAGAACACCAGUGGCGAAGGCGGCCAACUGGCCCAUUACUGACGAUGAGGUGCGAAAGCGUGGGGAGCAAACAGG